GUUCAACAAAACCGAAAGAAACAUGAUUGUCAGAAUUAUGUGCAAGUUUGUCACUUUUCUAAAAUAUCUCAAGAAAGUUUCCAGAUAUGUUUUGAGUCCUUUAAUAGGUGUUGAUAAAACUCGGUUUACAAUACUUAUUAUGUACCAACUUUAAAGGCGAAUCAUUGAAGAGGUAUCACGAGGUUCGUGUAAAACAUUCCGCGUGAGUUCCUAUAAUUUCCAGCAUUUCUUCGUUCCCUUCAUAUGGUACAACACAAAAUAGCUUCUUGUACUUGUAAAAUGUGGACGGUGAUCAGGUCAGUACUGAACGCGUUCUCUGCUAUUUUCAGUACGUUGGGUGACAGUUGACAAAGGCGUAACACAAUGGUGUAAGAGAAGUUGCCUCUAUAGCACGGCGAAAGUAAUUUGUACGUCCUUUUCCGAUUAAAGUUCAAAUCCAAAGUGUGAUUCUUGUGUUAGUCUGUUACAGAUGCAAAGUAACUCCGGGUCUUUUAUCCACUUUCUUACGCUCAAACAAGAUGAUCGUACGAACAUGAAACAUUUUUCGUUAGUAACUGUGGAACAAAUUUACAUUAUCAUCAUUAAGUUAUGGAGAAGCAAGCCAAGCUGAAUAAAGCCAGAAUUGCUGCUAAAAUCAAAAUAAAUGUCCUGAACAUGACGUUUCGACAAACUAUGAGGAUUAGGCAACUAAGGUGGUAACAGUAUAAUUAAGUUUAGCAAAACCAUGUUGACAAAGAUUCAACAUAAACGUAAAAUAAUAAGAAACAUGGCCAUGUAUUAUUAAUUCGGAUACUUUAGAGACGUUCUUAAAAAUCUUAUGUUUUCACAAGAAUUAACAGAAGCACUGCUGCCUUGUAUAAAAAUUGUAACAACAGUUGCUUGCUUCCAUAAUGUAAGAAAUUGUUGCUGGGAUAAGCUAAUGUUAAAAAUAAAUGUGAGAACCUAAUAUACAAAUUUCAGAACAACCUUUUGGAACAAAAGCAGAAAUACCAACCUCCGGCUCGGAAGUAGGUGCUAUUAAAUAUUAUGAGGUCUGUAAUAAAGAGGGAAAAUUCUCAUGCCGCUAUAUUAUAAUAUAUGGAAUUAUGAUCAUCCUUUCAUAACAGUUGUAAUUAAGCCUAAUUUUUUUGCAUUCGGUACUUUUCGGAAAAUGUCUUUUUGUUACAAAAACGUUCAUUAAAAUAUGACAAGAUGAUUUAAGGAAUCAGCGGAUCGGGCCGAAAGGACCCAUAGGUAUCAGAAAAUAUUAGCUUUGUAUAAACUUCUAACCCAGCCUGUACUGACCCCAUCGACGAUUAUCGAUAAACGACUUUUCAGUUGCAAGAACUGCUCUCUGGUGGUAGAAAUAGUAAAUACGGGCAAUACCGCCGUAAAGUGUUCAUGCUGAUAUGGCGGUCGAGUAGUGUUUGUGGUAAUUGAAUAUAAUUUAUUUACAUUUCAUACAUCCUUCAUGAGCUUGAGCCAGGGUGCCUCUUGUUAUAAGCCUGUAUACGUUGACAACUUUCUUCUGACCGAUGCGGUGAGCACGAUCCAUUGCCUGCACAUCCUUCAUUGGAUUCCAGUCAUGCUCCACAAAUACUACCUGCCAUCACAUGAUAAGAAUUCUCACCAUCACCACUGGUCCUCAUCUUGAGCUAGUUUGAUCCAGUUCAAACGCUAUCUAUUCAACUCAGAUUCACCUAACACCUUGUCGUUACAUACAAGCGAUAAAGGAUGAAUGAUCCGAACUCUUCGGAUCACGGCUGGCCAGGAUUGGCUUGCUGUAGCGUGCCGUAAACUGCUUCUCUGUACCAAGGAAACCAGGCAUCAGGAAGUCAAACAGUGACCACAGCUCCAGUACAUUAUUCUGUAUUGGUGUUCCCGACAAAAUGAGGCGGUGAUUUGCAACCAGCUGUUUGAUUGCUUUUGAGGACUGCAACAGAAAUGUAAAUCACAAACUGGAUACAACUGAGGGCAACUAAGUUUACUUUCAUCUUCAGUCUGUUCCAAUAUCUGCUACACAAAAUCAGUUCCACAUAACACAAGUAAGACAUGGGAAAUUCAGUGAGAUUUCAGGUUAUGUCAAUGAGUAUAAAGAUGGCUGUCUUCUGGGUUAUUUCACCAUGCAGUUUGGUACAUGACUGACGAUUCAGAGGCAUUUACUGCCUCCAUCAUCAGGACAAUCACUCUGUAAUGGUAUCCACCUAAGUUUCUACAAGUUGUCACAAACCAGAAGAACAAUGUAAUAUGCAUUUCUUUGUCCUAAAUAUUUUACAUAUUUAUAAAACGUCCAAAAUAUGACUUGAAUAUGUUACUGAUGUAAAGUAAAGGUGAUACCUUGGUUUUUCCAUUCUUGAUAACAUGGCCCUCAUCCAGGAUGCAAUAGUUCCACUUGAUAGAACUGAAGAAAUCAAUGUCCUUCCUGACAAUGUCAUAUGAAGCCACCACCAAAUUGUGGAAUUUUACCUUGCUGCGUAGCCUGCAGUAAUUCAGAUAAAUUAAUGAACCUCAACACAGAACAGAAGAGUUAUUAGAGUCAUGAUAAUACCAUAAGCUUAUAUUUCUUUGUCAGUAUGUAAAUUAAAUGUGAAAUGUA
Molecule: non-coding RNA, 2575 nt
Organism: Zootermopsis nevadensis
Lineage: Eukaryota; Metazoa; Arthropoda; Insecta; Blattodea; Termopsidae
Source: RefSeq, a predicted model, not a curated record